UUGGAGGGCAAGUCUGGUGCCAGCAGCCGCGGUAAUUCCAGCUCCAAUAGCGUAUAUUAAAGUUGUUGCAGUUAAAAAGCUCGUAGUUGAACUUCGGGGUCUACCCAUUGGUCAGGCUUAAUUGUCUGUACUGGUGAGAUGGAUCUCUACCUUCUGAGGAACUUUCAUGCCAUUUAUUUGGUGUGGUUGGAAAUCAGGACUGUUACUUUGAAAAAAUUAGAGUGUUUAAAGCAGACUAUCGUCUGAAUACAUUAGCAUGGAAUAAUGAAAUAGGACGGACUGAUUCUAUUUCGUUGGUUUCUAGGAUCACCGUAAUGAUUAAUAGGGAUAGUUGGGGGCAUUAGUAUUCAAUUGUCAGAGGUGAAAUUCUUGGAUUUAUUGAAGACUAACUACUGCGAAAGCAUUUGCCAAGGAUGUUUUCAUUAAUCAAGAACGAAAGUUAGGGGAUCGAAGACGAUCAGACACCGUCGUAGUCUUAACCAUAAACUAUGCCGACUAGGGAUCGGACGAAGUUAAUUUUAUAAUGACGCGUUCGGCGCCUUACGGGAAAC
This 551-nucleotide ribosomal RNA is filed under the name uncultured Glomeromycotina. Its description in RNAcentral is "SSU rRNA". It matches the Rfam family "Eukaryotic small subunit ribosomal RNA", at positions 548 to 1098 of the family's 1831-position model. The record is from RNAcentral. Lineage: Eukaryota; Fungi; Glomeromycota.